Non-coding RNA from Guyanagaster necrorhizus, 92 nucleotides. The record is from the annotation of a RefSeq genome assembly. NCBI's taxonomy places the organism in Eukaryota, Fungi, Basidiomycota, Agaricomycetes, Agaricales, Physalacriaceae.
GGGGUUAUAGCUCAGUUGGGAGAGCAGUAGACUGAAGUUGGUAUCCGGAGAUGCUAUUCUAAAGGUCCCCAGUUCAAUCCUGGGUGACCCCA